CCGUUGAUAAAUAUAGAACUAAAUCUAUCAUUUUCAUCGAUCCAACUCUUAUCCAUACCUGCACAAAACGAACAAUUUAUUAUGGAAACUAUAUCUUGAAAACAUUAAUUUGCAUUAUAAUAUUUGCAACCCGACUGGAUUUAAACCUCUACAUGUCUAAGAAAUGAAUAUUUCUCUCCAAAUCAGUUAGUUUAGCUAAAUUAUGUAGUUCAAUUAGUACGUGUACCUGAAAAUCUAUCUAUUUUUUUUAAUCUAACACUACAGUAAAAAAAAAAAAAAAAAAAAAAAAAAAAACCAUCUCUAUGUACAUGACAAAAGAUAUUUCUUUAUACACAUAAAUCAAUUAUUCUUAAAAAUAAAGUAAAAAAACAUUGAAUUAUUACUGGAGAAGAAAAGUAGAAGCGAGAAUCUCCUAAAAGAUAACCCACCUACAAUAGAGCAAAAUUUAAGGGAGGAAAAACAUUAACAAAGCUAGAACCCAAAGAAAUUAAGAAAAAUGAGACAAACCUUGAAGAAAAGAGAACUUGAUUUUUACCUUUCUGCCUAAACUCUAACAGAGGACGACAUGGUUCUCUAAAUUCCAGAAUCGAGAAGAGAAAAAUCUUAAAUUGGGCGACGAAGGAAGGAUCUGUGAGAAUAAAUAAAUAUAUAUACCAAAAAUUGAAGAGAAAGUUUUAAAAGAAAAUUUGUUUCAUAGAAUCCUCUCUAGGGUUCUUCACAUUCCACAAAACCCACCUAACUUCUGAUGUUGUG
Molecule: long non-coding RNA, 753 nt
Filed under: Erythranthe guttata (spotted monkey flower)
Lineage: Eukaryota; Viridiplantae; Streptophyta; Magnoliopsida; Lamiales; Phrymaceae
Description: long non-coding RNA (EGUT_LNC003084)
Source: RNAcentral